RNAcentral lists this ribosomal RNA (1360 nucleotides) under Neptis clinia. RNAcentral's name for it is "16S ribosomal RNA". Lineage: Eukaryota; Metazoa; Arthropoda; Insecta; Lepidoptera; Nymphalidae. The record is from RNAcentral.
GGGGGAAAAUUAAUAAAAUAUAAGUAAAAAAAAAAUUUUUAAUAUGGGGGUAUUAAAGUAUUUUUUAAAGAAAAAAUAAUAAUUUUUAUAGUUAAUUAGUAUUGUAGAAGAAAUUUGAAAUAAUUGAAAAUAAAUUAAUUAAAAAGUAAUUUUAAUUUAAUGUAUCUUGUGUAUCAGAGUUUAUUAAAAAAUAUUUUUUAUAAAAAAAAAUCUCGAAUUUAAAAGAGUUAAUUAAUUAUAAAAAUUAAUGUUGAAUAAUUAUUUUAAAUAAUUAAUUAGAAAUGAAAUGUUAAUCGUUUUUAAAUAUAUCUAGUUUUUUUAGAAAAAAAUUUAAUUUAAAAUUUAAAAAAUUUUAUUAUAUAAUUAAUGAUAAUAAAAUAUUUAAAAUUAAAUAUAUUAAGGGAUAAGCUUUAAUAUAAAUUUUUAUAAUUAAAAUAAUUUAAAUUAAAAAUUUUAAAAUUUAUAUUGUUUAAAAAUUAUAAUUUAUUAUAAAAAAUUUUUUUUAAAAAAAAAUUUAAUAAAAUUUAAUUUUUUAUAAAAUAAUAAUUUUUAAUAUUAAAAAAUUAAUAAUAAUGAUAAAAUUAGUAUAUUAAUUUAUAAAAAAAAAUUAAAAUUAAUAAAAAUUAAAUUAAAGGAAUUCGGCAAAAAUUUAUUUUCACUUGUUUAUCAAAAACAUGUCUUUUAGAUUAAUAAUUUAAAGUCUGAUCUGCCCACUGAUAUAAAAAUUAAAGGGCUGCAGUAUAUUGACUGUACAAAGGUAGCAUAAUCAAUAGUCUUUUAAUUGAAGACUUGUAUGAAAGAUUUGAUGANAAUAUAAACUGUCUCUGAUUUAAAAUUAGAAUUUAAUUUUUUAGUUAAAAAGCUAAAAUUUAUUUAAAAGACGAGAAGACCCUAUAGAGUUUUAUAUUGUUUUUAUUUAAGAUUAUAUUUAUAAUUAAUAAUUAAAAAUAAUGAUAAUAUUUUAUUGGGGUGAUAGAAAAAUUAAAAUAACUUUUUUUAAAUAAAUACAUAAAUAAGUGAAAUUAUGAUCCAUAUUUAAUGAUUAAAAGAAAAAAUUACCUUAGGGAUAACAGCGUAAUAUUUUUUUUUAGUACAAAUAAAAAAAAAAGUUUGCGACCUCGAUGUUGAAUUAAGAUAAAAAUUAAAUGCAAAAGUUUAAAUUUUUGAUCUGUUCGAUCAUUAAAAUCUUACAUGAUUUGAGUUCAAACCGGUGUGAGCCAGGUUGGUUUCUAUCUUUAGAAUAAUAAAAUAUUUUAGUACGAAAGGAUCAAAUAUUUUUAAUAUUUAAAUUAAUAAGAAUUUUAUUAAAAUUAAUUACUAUUUUGGCAGAAAAAUGUAGUGAUUUUAGAAGUCAUAAAUG